This 442-nucleotide ribosomal RNA is filed under the name uncultured bacterium. Its description in RNAcentral is "partial 16S ribosomal RNA". It matches the Rfam family "Bacterial small subunit ribosomal RNA", at positions 338 to 795 of the family's 1533-position model. The record is from RNAcentral.
CCUACGGGUGGCAGCAGUGGGGAAUAUUGGGCAAUGGCCGCAAGCCUGACCCAGCAAAGUCGCGUGAAGGAUGACGGCUCUCCGGUUGUUAACUUCUUUUUUCAGGGAAGCGUAGAAGACGGUACCUGCCGCAUCAGCCACGGCCAACUACGUGCCAGCAGCCGCGGUAAUACGUAGGUGGCCGGCGUUGUCCGGAUUUACGGGGUGUAAAGGGCGUGUAGGCGGGUUGACAAGUCAGAUGUGAAAUCCUGCGGCUUAACCGCAGUACUGCAGUUGAAACUGUUGAUCUUGAGUACGGGAGAGGCAGGUGGAAUGCGUGGUGUAGCGGUGAAAUGCGUAGAUAUGAGGAAGAACACCAGUGGCGAAGGCGGUCUGCUGGACAGCAACUGACGGUGAGGUGCGAAAGCGUGGGGAGCGAACAGGAUUAGAUACCCGGGUAGUC